GCCCUAAACGAUGUACACUAGUUGUUGUGGUGCUAGUCACUGCAGUAAUACAGUUAACACAUUAAGUGUACCGCCUGGGGAGUACGGUCGCAAGAUUAAAACUCAAAGGAAUAGACGGGGACCCGCACAAGCGGUGGAGCAUGUGGUUUAAUUCGAAGAUACGCGAAAAACCUUACCUGGCCUUGACAUUGAUAGAAUCCUGUAGAGAUACGGGAGUGCCGGCUUGCCGGAACUUGAAAACAGGUGCUGCACGGCUGUCGUCAGCUCGUGUCGUGAGAUGUUGGGUUAAGUCCCGCAACGAGCGCAACCCACGUCCUUAGUUGCCAGCAUUUCGGAUGGGAACUCUAAGGAGACUGCCUUCGCAAGGAGGAGGAAGGUGUGGACGACGUCAAGUCAUCAUGGCCCUUACGGCCAGGGCUACACACGUGCUACAAUGGGGCGUACAAAGAGCAGCAAUACCGCGAGGUGGAGCAAAUCUCAAAAACGCCUCCCAGUUCAGAUUGCACUCUGCAACUCGAGUGCAUGAAGUUGGAAUCGCUAGUAAUCGUAGAUCAGCAUUGCUACGGUGAAUACGUUCCCGGGUCUUGUACUCACCGCCCGUCACACCAUGGGAGUUGAUUUCACCCGAAGCGGGGAUG
This 638-nucleotide ribosomal RNA is filed under the name uncultured Campylobacterota bacterium. Its description in RNAcentral is "bacterial SSU rRNA". It matches the Rfam family "Bacterial small subunit ribosomal RNA", at positions 799 to 1434 of the family's 1533-position model. Lineage: Bacteria; Pseudomonadati; Campylobacterota. The record is from RNAcentral.